RNAcentral lists this ribosomal RNA (493 nucleotides) under uncultured bacterium. RNAcentral's name for it is "partial 16S ribosomal RNA". It matches the Rfam family "Bacterial small subunit ribosomal RNA", at positions 28 to 506 of the family's 1533-position model. The record is from RNAcentral.
GACGAACGCUGGCGGCGUGCUUAACACAUGCAAGUCGAACGGUGAAGCGCCUUCCUUUUUGGUGGGUGUGGAUGAGUGGCGAACGGGUGAGUAACACGUGAGUAACCUGCCCCCUUCUCCUGGAUAACCGCAUGAAAGUGUGGCUAAUACGGGAUAUUCUGGGUCUGUCGCAUGAUGGGUCUGGGAAAGAUAUUGUUUCGGUGGGGGAUGGGCUCGCGGCCUAUCAGCUUGUUGGUGGGGUGAUGGCCUACCAAGGCGGUGACGGGUAGCCGGCCUGAGAGGGUGGACGGUCACACUGGGACUGAGACACGGCCCAGACUCCUACGGGAGGCAGCAGUGGGGAAUAUUGCACAAUGGGCGCAAGCCUGAUGCAGCGACGCCGCGUGAGGGAUGGAGGCCGUCGGGUUGUGAACCUCUUUCGCCAGUGAAGCAGGCCUGCCUCGUUUGUGGGUGGGUUGACGGUAGCUGGAUAAGAAGCGCCGGCUAACUACGU